UUUGGUCUCUUUUUUGCCUUUUUGUCUAAGUGUUGGCAAUUCGGGCAAACGGGCUGAUAACUCAGCAUCCGUAUAUCGGAAUCGAGUCCCGUAAGUUGUAACGCAUGCUUAAUGUCUAUGCGGUGCUAUGUGUGUGUUUGCGUUUAGUUCAGAUGACCGAUACGGGUUUUGGUCUCUUUUUUUCCUUUUUGUCUAACUGUUGGUUAAUUAGGAAAACGGGCUGAUAACUCGGCAUCCGUAUAUCGGAAUCGAUUCCCGUAAGUUGCAACACAUGCC
This 276-nucleotide long non-coding RNA is filed under the name Panax ginseng (ginseng). RNAcentral's name for it is "long non-coding RNA (PGIN_LNC002285)". Lineage: Eukaryota; Viridiplantae; Streptophyta; Magnoliopsida; Apiales; Araliaceae. The record is from RNAcentral.